AAUGAAGUGCCUGAUUAAAGGAUUAUCUCGAUAAGAUAAAUUAAGCAAUAAUAUGCCUUCAUUA
Molecule: transfer RNA, 64 nt
Filed under: Byturus ochraceus
Lineage: Eukaryota; Metazoa; Arthropoda; Insecta; Coleoptera; Byturidae
Description: tRNA-Ile
Source: RNAcentral